Molecule: non-coding RNA, 48 nt
Filed under: Schistosoma margrebowiei
Lineage: Eukaryota; Metazoa; Platyhelminthes; Trematoda; Strigeidida; Schistosomatidae
Source: RNAcentral
AUCCAGCUAACGAGUCCCAAAUAGGACGUAACACGCGUCAAACUGGAU